This 396-nucleotide long non-coding RNA is filed under the name Theobroma cacao (cacao). RNAcentral's name for it is "long non-coding RNA (TCAC_LNC005972)". The record is from RNAcentral. Lineage: Eukaryota; Viridiplantae; Streptophyta; Magnoliopsida; Malvales; Malvaceae.
UUUCGUCAUUUUUCCUCAAAAUUUUUCGAACCUGACUAAAAAUGUAGUAGAUGAGUGGAAAACACAUAUUUCAUGAUUUAAAAUAAAUUUGGGUGUCUAAAACAUUUAUUAAAAAUGAUAUUACAACUAGUUGAAUAAAAUAAAAAUAUUCAAUAAAAUAUUCUAAUUUUUUAUAAAACAAUAUUUAUAGAGUCAUCGGUAAAUAAUUUUUGUAAUGUAAAAGCUAAAUAAAUUCAUACAUACUAUAAUACAGAUAACCGGGAUAUGAAAUUUACUUUACAGUGACUCGUGGGCCCACAAGGAACAAAAGUGGACAAAGGUAGUAAACCUAUAGUUUUUGGAGUAGUAAAGCUGACUAUAAUCCUUGACAAUAUCUGCUAUCCACAGGCUACCUCG